Molecule: long non-coding RNA, 824 nt
Organism: Pogoniulus pusillus (Red-fronted tinkerbird)
Lineage: Eukaryota; Metazoa; Chordata; Aves; Piciformes; Lybiidae
Exons: 3
Source: RefSeq, a predicted model, not a curated record
GCCCGGCCCGGCCCUGAGGCCGCCGGCUCUGCCACGUCUCCCGGGGGGUGGCCGGUAGCCGCCCGCGGCUCCCACAGAGCUGGGUUAUUUCGCGUUGUUUCUAAACUCCUCCGUGAAGAUCGCGGCCGCUACGGAAGCAGUCGGGCGGUGCCCGCGGGCAAGGAUGUCCCCGGCGGCUGGUGCGGAGUCCCUAAGGACCCGCUUGCGAUGUGUACACCUCGCUAAGGUGCAGGCAGCCGCGCUGGUCCCUCACCAGCUACUCUCAUUUAACUGGAUUUAAACCAGGGGGCGGCUCGGACAGUCAGUGUUCUUCUCGGAUGAAGAUCCACGGCGUUUCAGGAGCACCAGCACUGUGGAGAUCUUCGUUUUGCUGCCUGAAGGUGUUGCACAGGAUGUUUCUGUAGAGAGAAGAAAACCCUGAGAAUACCUCAUUGUUUUCCUCAGCCCAUCAGCUUUGCUUAGCUGGGAGUCCAGGCUGGGUGACAAAGGGAUGGCAACUCCUCCAAAGAGUUCAAUGGCAGCGGGGACAGUUUUGGAGCUGAACAUGUCAAAAAGAGAAAUUUGCCUGGUUCUGAUUCAUCAGAAGAGAUCAGGAGGGCUGUUAAGCAGUGUCUGUCAUUGUCUUCAGGUGCUCUUGACAUCAGCAGAAGGAAUAUUCAGCAUCUUUCUAAGGAAAUUUAUCUAGUGCCCUGCAUAAAGUACCUUCACCUGGAAAGAAAUCUCAUCUCCAUCAUUCCUGAGGAUUUCUUCCAGAAGCUGCCACACCUGAUCUGGCUGGAUCUGCGCUGGAACAGGGUUAGAGCUCUGCUCCCUGGCAUUGGCUG